CAUUUAAAUAGUUUAAGAAAAACAUUACAUUUUCAUUGUAAAAUUGAAAAAAAAUCUUUAAAU
This 63-nucleotide transfer RNA is filed under the name Entiminae sp. ACP-2013. RNAcentral describes it as "tRNA-Glu". The record is from RNAcentral. Lineage: Eukaryota; Metazoa; Arthropoda; Insecta; Coleoptera; Curculionidae.